ACACUAUAACACACCAUAACACACCAUAACACACUAUAACACACCAUAACACACCAUAACACACUAUAACACACCAUAACACACUAUAACACACUAUAACACACCACGUUAUAUCCACGCCAACUUCUCUCUCCACUGUAACCCAGCAGCCAUGAUCCAACUACGGUCUCUUAAUAGAUCCCCCAAAGGGCUUUAACCCUCUGUUGUUAUCAGGGUGUAUGUAGACGAGGCCCUAGCUUGGGGAGCUACAGAAAAUAUACACUGCGUCAUAGUUUUGUUUUUCCUGUGUUUAAAAAAACAAAAAACAAACAAUAUAUGUUGUUUAUUUGCCAUUUUGAUGAAUAUACAGUAUGCCCUGUUCUAACUCAAGCCAGGGGCACGUUCUAGUCUUCAGUCCCUUUAACAUCUGAUCUAGAGGAACUGGGUACCAGAACCACGUUGGAGGCUCGUCGGAGCCAUCGUCUUGUUGCUUAUGAAACUGACGUCAAUGUGUUUGCUGACACAUAUAAAAUCAUCAGAUUCGAUAGCGCCAUUGACGACAUUUCAAGCUAGCUGUGGAGUGAUCUUAACGGGCAGGGUUCCUACCACCAUAACACAAUCACCUAUCCAGCCCCUUCAGAAACACAAGGGGAGAUGGGCUUUCAGAACACACUGGAGUUCUGAAGAGUCAUCUGUUCUAGAACUGUCCUUGUUGACACGAGGCAUGAUGGGUACUGUAGUUCUCCAGUUCUUCCUGAAGGGUACCUGUAUGAUUGGUUGUCCUGAGUUGGUCACGUCACAUCCACUGUUUCCUCCACAGCUAUUCCCUGUUGAUAGUUGAUGUCAUUGAGAGUUUAUCCACAGUAUGGGGUUUGUGGCGAGCUCAAGCACAGCAUUAUCGGAACUCUGAGGUGACAUUUUUAAAUGCCUGGUUCAAUCAUUUUUUACAUUUAUUAAGUCAUUUAACAGACUCUCUGAUCCAGAGACACUACAGUAGUGAGUCAUUUAGCAGACUCUCUGAUCCAGAGCCACUACAGUAGUGAGUCAUUUAACAGACUCUCUGAUCCAGAGCCACUACAGUAGUGAGUCAUUUAACAGACUCUCUGAUCCAGAGCCACUACAGUAGUGAGUCAUUUAACAGACUCUCUGAUCCAGAGUCACUACAGUAGUGAGUCAUUUAGGAGACUCUCUGAUCCAGAGCCACUACAUAGUGAGUCAUUUAACAGACUCUCUGAUCCAGAGCCACGACAGUAGUGAGUCAUUUAGCAGACUCUCUGAUCCAGAGCCACUACAGUAGUGAGUCAUUUAGCAGACUCUCUGAUCCAGAG
Long non-coding RNA from Oncorhynchus tshawytscha (Chinook salmon), 1307 nucleotides. NCBI's taxonomy places the organism in Eukaryota, Metazoa, Chordata, Actinopteri, Salmoniformes, Salmonidae. The record is from Ensembl.